Molecule: ribosomal RNA, 41 nt
Filed under: Chaetoceros affinis
Lineage: Eukaryota; Bacillariophyta; Thalassiosirophyceae; Chaetocerotales; Chaetocerotaceae
Description: partial Eukaryotic small subunit ribosomal RNA
Source: RNAcentral
UAAAUCCCUUAUCGAGGAUCAAUUGGAGGGCAAGUCUGGUG